RNAcentral lists this ribosomal RNA (50 nucleotides) under Phytophthora hibernalis. RNAcentral's name for it is "partial 28S ribosomal RNA". The record is from RNAcentral. Lineage: Eukaryota; Oomycota; Peronosporomycetes; Peronosporales; Peronosporaceae.
UUGGACCUGAUAUCAGGCAAGAUUACCCGCUGAACUUAAGCAUACAUAAA